GAUGAACGCUGGCGGCGUGCCUAAUACAUGCAAGUCGAGCGAAACGACCAGGUGUUUUCUCUUCUGGCGUCGGCGGCGGACGGGUGAGUCCCAUGUGGUCAACAUACCUAUACGACUGGGGUACUUUCGGCAAACCGGAGCUAAUGCCCGAUGAUUUAUUGCAUCGCAUGGUUCACUCGUUAAAGACGGUUGUUCUGUCAGUAAUAGAUUGACCAGCGCCCGAUUAGCUAGUUGGUAAGGUAACGGCUUAACAAGGCUAGGAUGCGUAGCCGACCUGAACGGGAGGUCGGCCACCCGGGAGCUGAGACACAGCCCAGACUCUGACAGGAGGCAGCGGCAGGGAAUCUUCCGCGAUGCGCGAAAGCGUGACAGUGCAACGCCGGGUAAGGGAUGAAGCUGCUCGGAUGGGAGAGCGCUGUUAUCAGGGGAGAACAAAUGUGUAAGUAACUGGGCACGUCUUGACGGUACCUAGUCAGAAAGCCACGGCUAACUACGUG
Molecule: ribosomal RNA, 497 nt
Filed under: uncultured bacterium
Lineage: Bacteria
Description: partial 16S ribosomal RNA
Rfam family: Bacterial small subunit ribosomal RNA
Source: RNAcentral